RNAcentral lists this transfer RNA (76 nucleotides) under Staphylococcus aureus. RNAcentral describes it as "tRNA-Lys". It matches the Rfam family "tRNA". From Rfam's summary of the family: Transfer RNA (tRNA) molecules are approximately 80 nucleotides in length. Their secondary structure includes four short double-helical elements and three loops (D, anti-codon, and T loops). Further hydrogen bonds mediate the characteristic L-shaped molecular structure. tRNAs have two regions of fundamental functional importance: the anti-codon, which is responsible for specific mRNA codon recognition, and the 3' end, to which the tRNAs corresponding amino acid is attached (by aminoacyl-tRNA synthetases). tRNAs cope with the degeneracy of the genetic code in two manners: having more than one tRNA (with a specific anti-codon) for a particular amino acid; and 'wobble' base-pairing, i.e. permitting non-standard base-pairing at the 3rd anti-codon position. Lineage: Bacteria; Bacillati; Bacillota; Bacilli; Caryophanales; Staphylococcaceae. The record is from RNAcentral.
GGAGAAUUAGCUCAGUUGGUAGAGCAUCUGACUUUUAAUCAGAGGGUCAGAGGUUCGAAUCCUCUAUGGCUCACCA